GAUGAACGCUGGCGGCGUGCCUAAUACAUGCCAGUCGAGCGAACAGACGAGGAGCUUGCUCCUCUGACGUUAGCGGAGGACGGGUGAGUAACACGUGGAUAACCUACCUAUAAGACUGGGAUAACUUCGGGAAACCGGAGAUAAUCCCGGAUAAUAUAUUGAACCGCAUGGUUCAAUAGUGAAAGACGGUUUUGCUGUCACUUAUAGAUGGAUCCGCGCCGCAUUAGCUAGUUGGUAAGGUAACGUCUUACCAAGGCAACGAUGCGUAGCCGACCUGAGAGGGUGAUCGCCCACACGGGAGCUGAGACGCGGUCCAGACUCCUACGGGAGGCAGCAGUAGGGAAUCUUCCGCAAUGGGCGAAAGCUUUACGGAGCAACGCCGCGUGAGAUAUGAAGGUCUUCGGAGCGGAAAACUCUGUUAUUAGGGAAGAACAAAUGUGUAAUGAACUAUGCACGUCUUGACGGUACUUAGUCAGAAAGCCACGGCUAACUACGUG
This 497-nucleotide ribosomal RNA is filed under the name uncultured bacterium. Its description in RNAcentral is "partial 16S ribosomal RNA". It matches the Rfam family "Bacterial small subunit ribosomal RNA", at positions 28 to 507 of the family's 1533-position model. The record is from RNAcentral.